AGCUCCAAGAGCGUAUAUUAAAGUUGUUGCAGUUAAAAAGCUCGUAGUUGGAUUUCUGGUCUAAUGCGCCUGGCCCGCUGCCGUUAGGUAUGUGAGUGCCGGUGCGCGUUUACCAUCCUUCCAGAGAACACUUCUACCAUUUAUUUGGACGGAUGUUGUCUUCUGGAUCUUUUACUUUGAAAAAAUUAGAGUGUUUAAAGCAGGCCUUUGCUGUGAAUACAUUAGCAUGGAAUAAUAAUCUAGGACUUCGGUUCUAUUUUGUUGGUUUCUAGUACUGAAGUAAUGAUUGAUAGGGAUAGUUGGGGGUGCUAGUAUUGGCCGGCCAGAGGUGAAAUUCUUGGAUUCGGUCAAGACUAACUUAUGCGAAAGCAUUCACCAAGGAUGUCUUCU
RNAcentral lists this ribosomal RNA (390 nucleotides) under uncultured eukaryote. RNAcentral's name for it is "SSU rRNA". It matches the Rfam family "Eukaryotic small subunit ribosomal RNA", at positions 587 to 972 of the family's 1831-position model. The record is from RNAcentral.